AAUCUGGGGCCUUCGGCCCCCGAGUUGUAAUUUGGAGAGGCAUCUUCGGAGGGGAGCGCCGGCCCAUGUUCCUUGGAACAGGACGUCGCAGAGGGUGAGAAUCCCGUGCCAGGCCGGCAGCCUCCCCUCGAGUGAAGGGCCUUCGACGAGUCGAGUUGUUUGGGAAUGCAGCUCCAAGUGGGUGGUAUAUUUCAUCUAAAGCUAAAUACCGGCGGGAGACCGAUAGCGCACAAGUAGAGUGAUCGAAAGAUGAAAAGCACUUUGAAAAUAGAGUCAAAAAGUACGUGAAAUUGUUGAAAGGGAAGCGCUUGAGACCAGACUCAGACCCGAGCAAACACCGCGCCCCUCGGGGCCGUGCAAUUGCCAGGGGCUGGGCCAGCAUCAGUUGGCGUGGCGGGACAAAGGCGCGGGCAAUGUGGCUCCCCUCGGGGAGUGUUAUUAGGCCCACGCUCAAUGCCGCCGACGUCGACUGAGGACCGCGCCUCGGCUAGGAUGCUGGCUUAAUGGCCUUCAGCGACCCGUCUUGAAACACGGACCAAGGAGUCUAACAUCUAUGCGAGUGUUUGGGCGUCAAACCCUUGCGCGUAAUGAAAGUGAGCGGAGGUGGGAACCCCUCGCGGGGCGCACCAUCGACCGAUCCUGAUGUCUUCGGAUGGAUUUGAGUA
Molecule: ribosomal RNA, 665 nt
Filed under: Helvella atra
Lineage: Eukaryota; Fungi; Ascomycota; Pezizomycetes; Pezizales; Helvellaceae
Description: eukaryotic LSU rRNA
Rfam family: Eukaryotic large subunit ribosomal RNA
Source: RNAcentral